AGAGUUUGAUCCUGGCUCAGAACGAACGCUGGCGGCGUGGAUUAGGCAUGCAAGUCGUACGAGAAUGGGAUUUGAACAUUCCUUCGGGAAUGGGAUGGUCCCUAGUAAAGUGGCAAACGGGUGAGUAACACGUGGGUAAUCUGCCCUCGAGUUGGGGAUAACAUUCCUAACGGGAUGCUAAUACCGAAUAACAUCACCGGGUCUUCGGGCCUGGCGAUCAAAGGUGGCCUCUGCUUGCAAGCUACCACUUGAGGAUGAGCCCGCGGCCCAUUAGCUUGUUGGUGUGGUAACGGCUCACCAAGGCUAUGAUGGGUAGCUGGUCUGAGAGGAUGGUCAGCCACACUGGGAUUGAGAUACGGCCCAGACUCCUUCGGGAGGCAGCAGUCGAGAGGCUUUGGCAAUGGGGGAAACCCUGACCAAGCGACGCCGCGUGGGUGAUGAAGGCCUUCGGGUCGUAAAGCCCUGUUGUGGGAGAAGAAAAGCUACAUGGAUAAUACCCACGUAGUUUGACGGUAUCCUAGGAGGAAGCUCCGGCUAACUCCGUGCCAGCAGCCGCGGUAAUACGGAGGGAGCAAGCGUUGUUCGGAUUUACUGGGCGUAAAGGGCGUGUAGGCGGCCUUGUAAGUCGGGUGUGAAAUCCUUCGGCUCAACCGGAGACGUGCACUCGAUACUGUAAGGCUUGAGUGCAGGAGAGGAGAGUGGAAUUCCUGGUGUAGCGGUGAAAUGCGUAGAUAUCAGGAAGAACACCAGUGGCGAAGGCGACUCUCUGGCCUGCUACUGACGCUGAGGCGCGAAAGCCAGGGGAGCGAACAGGAUUAGAUACCCUGGUAGUCCUGGCCGUAAACGUUGGGCACUAGGUGUAGGGGGUAUCGACCCCCUCUGUGCCGAAGCUAACGCAUUAAGUGCCCCGCCUGGGGAGUACGAUCGCAAGAUUGAAACUCAAAGGAAUUGACGG
RNAcentral lists this ribosomal RNA (955 nucleotides) under uncultured bacterium. RNAcentral's name for it is "bacterial SSU rRNA". It matches the Rfam family "Bacterial small subunit ribosomal RNA", at positions 8 to 916 of the family's 1533-position model. The record is from RNAcentral.